Molecule: ribosomal RNA, 245 nt
Filed under: uncultured Pseudomonadota bacterium
Lineage: Bacteria; Pseudomonadati; Pseudomonadota
Description: uncultured proteobacterium partial 16S ribosomal RNA
Rfam family: Bacterial small subunit ribosomal RNA
Source: RNAcentral
UACGGAGGGAGCUAGCGUUGUUCGGAUUUACUGGGCGUAAAGGGCGCGUAGGCGGUUGUGUAAGUCAGACGUGAAAACCAUCGGCUCAACCGAUUGGAUUGCAUUUGAUACUGCACAACUCGAGUUCAGUAGAGGAGAGCGGAAUUCCCAGUGUAGCGGUGGAAUGCGUAGAUAUUGGGAAGAACACCAGUGGCGAAGGCGGCUCUCUGGACUGACACUGACGCUGAGGCGCGAAAGCCAGGGGA